UUAUUUAAUGGCCGCGGUAUUAUGACCGUGCAAAGGUAGCAUAAUCAUUAGUCUAUUAAUUGUGGACUUGUAUGAAUGGUUGGACGAAAUAUUUACUGUCUCAUAUUUAUUAAUAUAAUUUAAAAUUUUAGUUAAAAUGCUUAAAUUUUUUUAUUGGACGAGAAGACCCUAUAGAUCUUUAUUUAUUAUUUUGUUGAUUAAUUUUGGUUUUUAUAAUUUUUAUUAUUUUAAUAUGUUUUGUUGGGGUGACAUUGAGAUAUUUAUAACUCUUAAUUUUUAUUAAUAAUUAUUUUUAUAUAUUUGACUUUUUAUUAUUGUUAUAAGAUUUAGAUACCUUAGGGAUAACAGCGUAAUUCUUUUUAAGAGUUCUUAUCGACAAAUGAGAUUGCGACCUCGAUGUUGGAUUAAGAUAAUAGAAUGGUGAAGAUGCUAUUUUAUUAGGUCUGUUCGACCUUUAAAUUCUUACAUGAUCUGAGUCA
This 479-nucleotide ribosomal RNA is filed under the name Xenophasmina sp. SB0442. RNAcentral describes it as "partial large subunit ribosomal RNA". It matches the Rfam family "Bacterial large subunit ribosomal RNA", at positions 1920 to 2612 of the family's 2925-position model. Lineage: Eukaryota; Metazoa; Arthropoda; Insecta; Phasmatodea; Phasmatidae. The record is from RNAcentral.